Molecule: ribosomal RNA, 947 nt
Filed under: uncultured bacterium
Lineage: Bacteria
Description: bacterial SSU rRNA
Rfam family: Bacterial small subunit ribosomal RNA
Source: RNAcentral
CUUACACAUGCAAGUCAACUUGAAUUUGGGUUUUUUAACUUAGAUUUGGGUGGCGGACGGGUGAGUAACGCGUAAAGAACUUGCCUCACAGCUAGGGACAACAUUUGGAAACGAAUGCUAAUACCUGAUAUUAUGAUUUUAAGGCAUCUUAGAAUUAUGAAAGCUAUACGCGCUGUGAGAGAGCUUUGCGUCCCAUUAGCUAGUUGGAGAGGUAACGGCUCACCAAGGCGAUGAUGGGUAGCCGGCCUGAGAGGGUGAACGGCCACAAGGGGACUGAGACACGGCCCUUACUCCUACGGGAGACAGCAGUGGGGAAUAUUGGACAAUGGACCAAGAGUCUGAUCCAGCAAUUCUGUGUGCACGAUGACGUUUUUCGGAAUGUAAAGUGCUUUCAGUUGGGAAGAAAAAAAUGACGGUACCAACAGAAGAAGUGACGGCUAAAUACGUGCCAGCAGCCGCGGUAAUACGUAUGUCACGAGCGUUAUCCGGAUUUAUUGGGCGUAAAGCGCGUCUAGGUGGUUAUGUAAGUCUGAUGUGAAAAUGCAGGGCUCAACUCUGUAUUGCGUUGGAAACUGUGUAACUAGAGUACUGGAGAGGUAAGCGGAACUACAAGUGUAGAGGUGAAAUUCGUAGAUAUUUGUAGGAAUGCCGAUGGGGAAGCCAGCUUACUGGACAGAUACUGACGCUGAAGCGCGAAAGCGUGGGUAGCAAACAGGAUUAGAUACCCUGGUAGUCCACGCCGUAAACGAUGAUUACUAGGUGUUGGGGGUCGAACCUCAGCGCCCAAGCAAACGCGAUAAGUAAUCCGCCUGGGAGUACGUACGCAAGUAUGAAACUCAAAGGAAUUGACGGGGACCCGCACAAGCGGUGGAGCAUGUGGUUUAAUUCGACGCAACGCGAGGAACCUUACCAGCGUUUGACAUCUUAGGAAAGAGACAGAGAUGUUU